Perca fluviatilis (European perch) is the source of this 2595-nucleotide long non-coding RNA. RefSeq lists it as uncharacterized. NCBI's taxonomy places the organism in Eukaryota, Metazoa, Chordata, Actinopteri, Perciformes, Percidae. The transcript is spliced from 3 exons. The record is from RefSeq and is a predicted model, not a curated record.
CGUUCUUUCCAGGGGGUCCGGCGGGGCCACGGGGACCCAUGGCGCCCUGUAGAGAAACACAUGCUCAAGCUUCAUUUGUUCCCUAUUGUGAUGAAAGCAGCGUUAAACCUGGAGGAGGUGCAGUUUACUCCCCUAUGAGACAGCCCAUGUGACCAACCAGGAAUGGACUGGGCCGUGUUCAUGUGACAUGUGACAUCAGGAUACAAGAAGUAGGGAAGAGGAUGGAAUGCAAUCCGUCUUUCAGGAAGAAAACGAGGCAGAAAGGAAGAAGAAAGGAAAGAAAGCGCCACCUCAUCAUUCCCCUGGUUCAACCUCCAGUAUGAUCGGAUCCUCCGAGCGUCACAAACCAACACGCACAAAUGCAUUCGUACACACACACACACACACACACACACACACACACACACACACACACACACACACACACACACACACACACACACACACACACACACUUUUAGCUUUUGUUCCAAUGCAUCUCUGAGGGAAAAAAAACAAAAAAUAAUCCAUAUCGAUCUAUUUAAGCAGCAACCUUCCUUUGUACAGCAUAACGACUUCAGUGCAAAUGUAGGGUCGAGUUUAGGCACGUAAAAGAAAAGGGUUUAGGCCAAGUCUUGAACAGAAACACUGAAAACACACAUAUCUCAUACUUUAUAUUCUUGAAGAAAAAAGUUUUUAAAAAGGAUGUUUAUGGACAAGCUGCCUCCAAACAUGCUUGAGUCAUGCAUUACAGUAAAAAAAAAUAAAAAAAACCAUCUUCAAAUAUUGAAGAUUUUUAUGUAUGUUGGUAAUGGUAAUUACAGCGCUAAUGCACUCUUUGAAGCGACUAUAAUCAAUAUUUUAAUGGAUCACAUGACUAGUUGUAUGUGAAAGAGCUUGCUGGUAUACCCACAGCUAAUCAUCACGCUACUCUGUAGCUCCUCUCCACAAUGUCAGCUUAAAAUGUGAUAUGUCAAGGUUGUGUUCACAGCUUGUUUCUGCCACCCCAUGUGGCAGGUUUAAUACUAGUUUUCAAAAAAUUUAAUUCAUUCAACCUUUUUUUUUUUAUCCUCGAUAGAUCAUUGAGGGGCGACCCUCAUCUUCAAUGUCAUGGAGUCAGAUUACAAAGACAAAUUCAGAACAACAACACAGAAAGUACAAUCAUAAGAAAAAUAGAAAGACAAUAAAACAGAAUUGGAAAAUUAUUUCAUCAAUACAUUUGGAUAAUAGGGAUGCAAAAUAAAAUACAAUUAUGUAAAACAGUUACAAGUAGAAGUUUGCAGGUUUAAAACCAGAUUUUGAAAUUGUCCGAACGGCACAAGUGAGUUGAUUUUAAGAAAGUGCUGUAAUUUGUUCAAGGAGUUGGAUGCACUAAAACUAAAAGCUUUUAGUACAGACCGAGCUCGUGGAACAUGCAGUAAAAGCCAGUCAGCAGAGCGAGUGUGAUAAUGCCUCAGAGGAGUGACAGAGAAGUUCUGGAAGGUAGUGUGGCAGUUUUCCAAUAACAGCCUUAUAGUUAAAGAGAUACCAGUGAGUAGCACAUCUUUCUUGGAGAGAAGACCACCCAAUACUUUCAUAUAAAAUACAAUGAUGUGUACUAUAGGCAUGACCGGUUAUCUCAAGGCAGAGUGAUAGACUGAGUCCAGGGUUUUAAGAGUUGAAGUUGAUGCAUGUUUAUAAAUCACAUCACCGUAGUCCAAGACAGACUUGAAAGAUUUUUUUGUUUCUGUAGAAAUAGCCAUUUUUUUUGCCUGAGUCUGCACACAAGAUUAUCAAUGUGGAAUUUGAAGGAGAGCUUUUCGUCAAUCCCGAUAAUGAAAGUGUCUGACCUUUUUCUCAUGCUGUCUGUACUAUACCUGUAAAUACCUCUGUCCAAAACGCUCAGUUUUAGCGCCUGUCUCUUUAAGCUCCCCUCCUCAAAAAGCCCAGUCUGCUCUGAUUGGUCAGCGUUUCCGGGUCUUCCAAAGCUCUUCUCUCCUGUCUGUCCUGUCAGCCGGGGAAUGACUAUAACGGCACUGUAGUGGCACUUUCUGGAACACCGUUCCAGGACUAAAAGUUGUGAUGGAACGGCAUUCCCUUUCAGUUUAAAAAUAGUUUGUUUCAAUGUUGUUGUUUUUAUUUGGGUAAAUCAUUAAUAGCUAUUUUACCAUUAAUACCUCUGCAUUUUGCAGCGUUUCUGAAUUAAAUAUUUUUCUCCCGAGUACACUUGAAAGCAGCACAGAAGGUUGUCAGCGUGCUGCUGUUGUACUCGACACCACCUGACAAGCAGGUAAGAUAAAGAUCCGCUUGCUUUUAAAUUUCUAGAAACUUCAGAGGUGUUGCAACAUUUUCAGUCUAGUUUGGAACGUUCAUUUUGAUCCAACCACCACAUGAUUAGGGUUGGAUACAGAAACCUGGUGCUAAUACGGCACGAGUGCCAAAACGACCGGUAUCUACUGGCCUGAAUAGCAACGCAAAUUUCGGUGCCUCAUUUUGGUGCCACUGAAAUGCCUGCGCUUCUCUCUGAUGCUCCGAAACAGACGUUAGAGGAAAGAGAAUCGCUGCAUGUGAUGCUAUUACACAUUACAGGUAACGUUAGCCUACACUUAGCUAGUAGCUAGAUUAAACACGGUUAAA